UUGAAUAAACUUGAACAGGCUGUUGCUGACCUCUUGGGGUAUGUGCACGCUUGUCAUCUUUACUUCUCCAACUGUGCACAUAUUGUAGACCUUUUAAAGAAGUUUUGGGACUUGCUAGGUCCAGCCAGCUUUUGCCCUUUGCAUAUUUCUUUCUUUCUGGGUCUAUGUCAUUUUUCACAAACCUAUGAGUCUGUUUAGAAUGUUGAAUCAGAAUCAAUAAAGUUUGUAAUA
Molecule: unclassified non-coding RNA, 231 nt
Filed under: uncultured Inocybe
Lineage: Eukaryota; Fungi; Basidiomycota; Agaricomycetes; Agaricales; Cortinariaceae
Description: sequence contains ITS1
Source: RNAcentral